RNAcentral lists this ribosomal RNA (497 nucleotides) under uncultured bacterium. RNAcentral describes it as "partial 16S ribosomal RNA". It matches the Rfam family "Bacterial small subunit ribosomal RNA", at positions 28 to 507 of the family's 1533-position model. The record is from RNAcentral.
GAUGAACGCUGGCGGCGUGCCUAAUACAUGCAAGUCGAGCGAACGGACGAGAAGCUUGCUUCUCUGAUGUUAGCGGCGGACGGGUGAGUAACACGUGGAUAACCUACCUAUAAGACUGGGAUAACUUCGAGAAACCGUAGCUAAUACCGGAUAAUAUUUUGAACCGCAUGGUUCAAAAGUGAAAGACGGUCUUGCUGUCACUUAUAGAUGGAUCCGCGCUGCAUUAGCUAGUUGGUAAGGUAACGGCUUACCAAGGCAACGAUGCAUAGCCGACCUGAGAGGGUGAUCGGCCACACUGGAACUGAGACACGGUCCAGACUCCUACGGGAGGCAGCAGUAGGGAAUCUUCCGCAAUGGGCGAAAGCCUGACGGAGCAACGCCGCGUGAGUGAUGAAGGUCUUCGGAUCGUAAAACUCUGUUAUUAGGGAAGAACAUAUGUGUAAGUAAAUGUGCACAUCUUGACGGUACCUAAUCAGAAAGCCACGGCUAACUACGUG